CGCCUCUUGCACCACAUAAGAGGUCCAGCCUGCCCAGUGACAAAGUUCAACGGCCGCGGUAUCCUGACCGUGCGAAGGUAGCAUAAUCACUUGUUCUUUAAAUAGGGACUAGUAUCAACGGCACCACGAGGGUUAUACUGUCUCCUUUUCCUGAUCGAUGAAACUAAUCUCCCCGUGAAGAAGCGGGGAUAAAAAUAUAAGACGAGAAGACCCCAUGGAGCUUUAAAUUCAAUAGGUAAUCUUAUACAAAUUAAUCAAUAUAAAUUUAAGACUCUACCUGUUAAUUUUAGGUUGGGGCGACCGCGGAGUAAAACCAAACCUCCACAACGAAUAAAGCACUAGCCUUAUCUAAGAGCCACAACUCCAAGAAUCAAAAAAUUGACGUACAAUGACCCGAUACUCGACUAAUGAAACAAGUUACCCUGGGGAUAACAGCGCAAUCUACUUCGAGAGCCCAUAUCAACAAGUAGGCUUACGACCUCGAUGUUGGAUCAGGAUGUCCCAGUGGUGCAGCCGCUACUAAAGGUUCGUUUGUUCAACGAUUAAAAUCCU
RNAcentral lists this ribosomal RNA (552 nucleotides) under Nyctibatrachus vasanthi (Kalakad wrinkled frog). RNAcentral describes it as "partial 16S ribosomal RNA". It matches the Rfam family "Bacterial large subunit ribosomal RNA", at positions 1817 to 2597 of the family's 2925-position model. The record is from RNAcentral. Lineage: Eukaryota; Metazoa; Chordata; Amphibia; Anura; Nyctibatrachidae.